GUCAGGAUGUCCGAGCGUCUAAGGCGCUGCGUUCAGGUCGCAGUCUCCCCUGGAGCGUGGUUCGAAUCCCACUUCUGACA
This 80-nucleotide transfer RNA is filed under the name Merluccius polli (Benguela hake). It matches the Rfam family "tRNA". From Rfam's summary of the family: Transfer RNA (tRNA) molecules are approximately 80 nucleotides in length. Their secondary structure includes four short double-helical elements and three loops (D, anti-codon, and T loops). The record is from Rfam by way of RNAcentral. Lineage: Eukaryota; Metazoa; Chordata; Actinopteri; Gadiformes; Merlucciidae.